Molecule: ribosomal RNA, 433 nt
Filed under: uncultured bacterium
Lineage: Bacteria
Description: partial 16S ribosomal RNA
Rfam family: Bacterial small subunit ribosomal RNA
Source: RNAcentral
AACGAACGCUGGCGGCAUGCCUAACACAUGCAAGUCGAACGAGACCUUCGGGUCUAGUGGCGCACGGGUGCGUAACGCGUGGGAACCUGCCCUUAGGUUCGGAAUAACUCCCCGAAAGGGGUGCUAAUACCGGAUAAUGUCUUCGGACCAAAGAUUUAUCGCCUUUGGAUGGGCCCGCGUUGGAUUAGCAAGUUGGUAGGGUAAAAGCCUACCAAGGCGACGAUCCAUAGCUGGUCUGAGAGGAUGAUCAGCCACACUGGGACUGAGACACGGCCCAGACUCCUACGGGAGGGAGCAGUGGGGAAUAUUGGACAAUGGGCGAAAGCCUGAUCCAGCAGUGCCGCGUGAGUGAUGAAGGCCUUAGGGUUGUAAAGCUCUUUUACACGGGAUGAUAAUGACAGUACCGGGAGAAUAAGCACCGGCUAACCCCGUG